Molecule: ribosomal RNA, 253 nt
Filed under: uncultured prokaryote
Description: partial 16S ribosomal RNA
Rfam family: Bacterial small subunit ribosomal RNA
Source: RNAcentral
ACAGAGGGGGCAAGCGUUGUUCGGAAUUACUGGGCGUAAAGGGCGCGUAGGCGGCCCGCUAAGUCGAACGUGAAAUCCCCGAGCUCAACUCGGGAACUGCGUCCGAUACUGGCGGGCUUGAAUCCGGGAGAGGAAUGCGGAAUUCCAGGUGUAGCGGUGAAAUGCGUAGAUAUCUGGAGGAACGCCGGUGGCGAAGGCGGCAUUCUGGACCAAUAUUGACGCUGAGGAGCGAAAGCCAGGGGAGCAAACGGGA